UUUUCUGCAUUCCCAUCAGCCAAAAACGUCCUAAGGGUUUCUUCAAGCUGGUUUUUCAUAAUUUUUGCACCAAAUCCGGAAAAUUCAAAUACGAAGCAAGAUCGAGGAAAAGAAAAAGUUCGGGAUUAGUAGAUUUUUUGGUUACGAACAAGUGUCGAGAGUUAAAAGCUCGCAGGUCGGAUUUGGUCGGAGACACAUCACACUAUCAAUCUCGAGGUCUCGGUACAUAAAGGAACUUUAUUUUGGAAAUCAAUGGCAUGUAUAAGCUAGUAAAUUAGAUGUUAAUGUGAAAUGAAUGUAUGGUUAGCCAUUGGUAUGGCUAACAAAUUUUGGUUUUGGUAUGUGAUGAAAUUAGCUUUACUUUACCCUGUUGAUGCCUACAUCUUAUUGUCGAAAGCUCUGCAACUUGGAACCUCAAUUAAAUCUAUGUGUUUCUGGUUCAGUUGCCUUCAUUCGCCUCCAACAUUUGUUUGAGAAUAUUGAUUUAAUAAUAUCAAAUUGGUUAUGUUC
Gossypium raimondii (Peruvian cotton) is the source of this 510-nucleotide long non-coding RNA. RefSeq lists it as uncharacterized. The record is from RefSeq and is a predicted model, not a curated record. Lineage: Eukaryota; Viridiplantae; Streptophyta; Magnoliopsida; Malvales; Malvaceae. The transcript has 3 exons.